This 66-nucleotide transfer RNA is filed under the name Micromonospora acroterricola. RNAcentral's name for it is "Micromonospora sp. 5R2A7 tRNA-Val". The stretch from base 8 to 58 matches the Rfam family "tRNA", at positions 10 to 63 of the family's 71-position model. From Rfam's summary of the family: Transfer RNA (tRNA) molecules are approximately 80 nucleotides in length. Their secondary structure includes four short double-helical elements and three loops (D, anti-codon, and T loops). The record is from RNAcentral. Lineage: Bacteria; Bacillati; Actinomycetota; Actinomycetes; Micromonosporales; Micromonosporaceae.
GAGCAGUGCUCCGAGAGCACUUCGUUCACACCGAAGAGGUCACUGGUUCGAUCCCAGUAUCGCCCA